RNAcentral lists this ribosomal RNA (352 nucleotides) under Trithemis dorsalis. RNAcentral describes it as "eukaryotic LSU rRNA". Lineage: Eukaryota; Metazoa; Arthropoda; Insecta; Odonata; Libellulidae. The record is from RNAcentral.
CCNUGAGUUCAAGAGUACGUGAAACCGCCUGGGAGUAAACGGGUGGUUCCCGAAAGUGCGAAAGGGGAGAUUCAGUCUCGCCGCGCGCCGGGCCGUUCCCGCGACAAGGGAUGGUGUUCUCGCGGCCGUGGGGCGACCCACGGUCCGGGAGGGCGACCCACGGUCCGGGAUCGUCACCCCGCGGGUGCNGUUUUUCCCGGCGUCGGAGUGACGCACUUCUCCCCCGGUAGAACGUCGCGAUCCGUCGGUCGCCGUCCUAAGGUCCCCGGUGGAGCCUGCUUCGCCGCGCAUGACCCGGGGAAUCCCGGCCGGGUGCCCGACGGUACGAAGAGAGGAAGGAGUCGGCGCGCCC